RNAcentral lists this ribosomal RNA (495 nucleotides) under uncultured bacterium. RNAcentral's name for it is "partial 16S ribosomal RNA". It matches the Rfam family "Bacterial small subunit ribosomal RNA", at positions 28 to 505 of the family's 1533-position model. The record is from RNAcentral.
GAUGAACGCUGGCGGCGUGCCUAAUACAUGCAAGUCGAGCGAACAGACGAGGAGCUUGCUCCUCUGACGUUAGCGGCGGACGGGUGAGUAACACGUGGAUAACCUACCUAUAAGACUGGGAUAUCUUCGGGAAACCGGAGCUAAUACCGGAUAAUAUAUUGAACCGCAUGGUUCAAUAGUGAAAGACGGUUUUGCUGUCACUUAUAGAUGGAUCCGCGCCGCAUUAGCUAGUUGGUAAGGUAACGGCUUACCAAGGCGACGAUGCGUAGCCGACCUGAGAGGGUGAUCGGCCACACUGGAACUGAGACACGGUCCAGACUCAUACGAGAGGCAGGAGUAGAGAAUCUGCCGAAAGGGGCGAAAGCCUGACGGAGAAACGCCGCGUGAGUGAUGAAGGUCGUCGGAGCGUAAAACUCUGUUAUUAGGGAAGAACAAAUGUGUAAGUAACUAUGCACGUCUAGACGGUACCUAAACAGAAAGCCGCGGCUAACUACG